GUGGCUUCUGCCUCCAUUCUGACUUCCAAAUCUCUUGCAAAUGCAUAUAAUUGGUUGAACCUAAUUCACAGUUAGAACCCCAGCUGCAAGUGAGACUGGAAAAAUGGCUCUCAGAGUUCCCGCCUCUGCAGUAGAGGAAGACACUCCAGAAGGAGUUGAGAAUGGGUGCUGAGUGCCUCUUCAGGAUGUCUGUCACACCUCAGGAAACCUGCCAGGAAUACCAAAGGGAGUGAAAAAUCCAAGGUUGGGAAGCCCUGGGACAUUGAAGUUACAACUGGACGAUAAAAACAGAGUUUUUUCCUUGUGACGUGACCACUGUGAUGUAAAGCUGUAUCUCCUUCAUUUCAUCAAGAAAUUCUUAAAAUUCUCCCCCAACGUGCUUUCAUCUUUCCCUUCAUUGCCAACUCUGUAAGAAGUACCACGCCUUUUCUUUGAAUCUGAUUCUCCUCCAAGAAGCAAUGCUUCUCUGAGGCUUUCACCUUUGCUCACAUCAAAGCCCCCACACUGAAUAAAUACCAUCCUUACAUGCCCUUCCAGAGACUCCACUAAUGGACGAGCUUCAUCCAGCAAAAGAUAACUGGGGAAACUUCAGCAAAAGGACUGUUGAUGAAAAUUUGCUGUAUUUGAUUAUAUAGCUAAG
RNAcentral lists this long non-coding RNA (640 nucleotides) under Homo sapiens (human). RNAcentral describes it as "non-protein coding LINC02362:24". The record is from RNAcentral. Lineage: Eukaryota; Metazoa; Chordata; Mammalia; Primates; Hominidae.